CCAAAAGCUAAAGUAGUGUUUCCUUGUUAGAAGAUACAAAGCUAGAGACUCAUACGAAUUUCGGCUACACCAUCAAAACUUUGAGAAGCAAUAAGAAAUUUGGUA
Molecule: small RNA, 105 nt
Filed under: Arabidopsis thaliana (thale cress)
Lineage: Eukaryota; Viridiplantae; Streptophyta; Magnoliopsida; Brassicales; Brassicaceae
Description: ATSL198000
Source: RNAcentral